This 581-nucleotide long non-coding RNA is filed under the name Arabidopsis lyrata. RNAcentral describes it as "long non-coding RNA (ALYR_LNC001431)". Lineage: Eukaryota; Viridiplantae; Streptophyta; Magnoliopsida; Brassicales; Brassicaceae. The record is from RNAcentral.
GUUAAGACUUAAAUACAUUUGACCCAACCCUAACAAAAGUCUUUCUUUUUUUUUCUCCUUCAACGUCGCUUCUUUUUCUCUCACUUUCCUUUUUUUUUGUUCUCUCUUUUUCUCUUUAUUAUCAAUUUAAUUAUUUAACUAGAUUUUAACCAGCGGUAUACUGCGGGAUAAUUUAAUUUUAAAGUUAGUAUAAAAAUAUUUUGUAAAUUUGUAUGUCCUUAUAACAUAUUUAUUUAUAUUAUAGUUUACAAUUGUUAUUAAGUAACGGUAUACCACGAGUCCACAAGACGAUUAUUAAUAAACUGAGGAUUUAACCCGUAUUAAAGCGGUAUAUAAAUAUUGAUUCAAAUUCGUCCGUCAUAAACCCUUUCUGAAAUAUAACCCGUUCCGUAAUUUCUUAACACGUCCUGUGAUUUGUUUUUAUUUUAAAAUUUAAUGAUUAUUUAUUAUAUAUAAAAGUUUACAAAUCAUAUCAUUCUCUAAGAAAUUUAUAUUUAAAUAAACUAAAGAUUUAAUAUGUAUUAAAGCGGCAUGUUAAUGAUAUUUUAAAAUUUUAUAAUAUUGUAAUUAAGUAACAUUAU